AUGGUCUUCAUUUUCUACUUCG
Molecule: microRNA, 22 nt
Filed under: Heliconius melpomene (postman butterfly)
Lineage: Eukaryota; Metazoa; Arthropoda; Insecta; Lepidoptera; Nymphalidae
Description: hme-miR-6309-3p
Source: miRBase by way of RNAcentral